This is a long non-coding RNA of Sinocyclocheilus grahami, 629 nucleotides long. RefSeq lists it as uncharacterized. The transcript has 3 exons. Lineage: Eukaryota; Metazoa; Chordata; Actinopteri; Cypriniformes; Cyprinidae. The record is from RefSeq and is a predicted model, not a curated record.
GCCAUAAAGAUUUUUGCAUUUGUCUUUUGUUACACUGACACUCAAGAGUGAUAUUAAAAAUUGUCCCUUACAUGUUUAAAGCCAAUCAAGUCUCAAAACAAGUGUCUGAGGUCAAAGGCUCUGCAAUCCCCGCCCUUACUUCCAUUGUGCUAUAUCUAUCUCUAUCAAGAUUAAGGAUUUAACCGUUAUCCACUGUAUGAAGCCCUGCUACCUUUAAAGCACCCAGCUGAGAAGCACGGCCAAGAACAGCACUGAUGACGCAAUAGGCAGCUUAAUGUGUAUUGAAUGAAUGAAUGAUUCUGUAGGUGCAUCCCAAUUCAUAUGCUUAUGCACUAAGCCAUUUUGUAAUAUAAAUAUUGUGUUCACACUUAAAAAUUCCAACACAGAAUUUUGGACACUUCAUGUACUCAGUCAUUGCACCUUUAAUUAUGUAAUUGAUGACAAGCAAGUUGUCUAAAUGCCAUACACUAGACACACAGUACAUAGUUUAAGAGCGUACAAUGUAAUUUUGGACAGGUACUGACAUAUUUCUACAUUAAAAUGUCCAUAAUUAAAACUUUAACCUCAUAACAUUAUUGAUGCAAUUGCAAUUGUAAUUUGACUGUAUUGUAAAUGCAAUUAUGCUACCA